UAAUACUGAUCUGUUGAAAGCUGGCAGAGGCUAGUGAAGCCAUUCUGGUUGAACCAUUCUCCUAUUUGGCUGUGUGGUUCCAGGUGCUGGUGCUGUGGAAGUGGCGAUGGCAGAAGCCCUGAUUAAACAUAAGCCCAGUGUAAAGGGCAGGGCACAGCUUGGAGUCCAAGCAUUUGCUGAUGCAUUGCUCAUUAUUCCCAAGGUUCUUGCUCAGAACUCUGGUUUUGACCUUCAGGAAACAUUAGUUAAAAUUCAAGCAGAACAUUCAGAAUCAGGUCAGCUUGUGGGUGUGGACCUGAACACAGGUGAGCCAAUGGUAGCAGCAGAAGUAGGCGUAUGGGAUAACUAUUGUGUAAAGAAACAGCUUCUUCACUCCUGCACUGUGAUUGCCACCAACAUUCUCUUGGUUGAUGAGAUCAUGCGAGCUGGAAUGUCUUCUCUGAAAGGUUGAAUUGAAGCUUCCUCUGUAUCUGAAUCUUGAAGACUGCAAAGUGAUCCUGAGGAAUACAGCUGUGGAAUUUUUGUCCAAGCUUCAAAUAAUUUUCAAAGGAAUUUUCCCAUAUGAAAAAAGGAGAGAACACUGGCAUCUGUUGAAAUUCAGAAGUUCUGAAAUUACAGUAUUUUUAAAAAUUGCACCGAAGUGUAUACACAUAAAGCAGGUCUUU
Molecule: small RNA, 665 nt
Filed under: Pongo abelii (Sumatran orangutan)
Lineage: Eukaryota; Metazoa; Chordata; Mammalia; Primates; Hominidae
Description: processed transcript
Source: RNAcentral